This is a long non-coding RNA of Anthonomus grandis grandis, 1349 nucleotides long. RefSeq lists it as uncharacterized. The transcript is spliced from 3 exons. The record is from RefSeq and is a predicted model, not a curated record. NCBI's taxonomy places the organism in Eukaryota, Metazoa, Arthropoda, Insecta, Coleoptera, Curculionidae.
UCUUCUCACUUCAUAUUUAGUUUUCAAUUGUAACCAAGAUAUAUGCUCAUUACCGUGUCACCAACAUUUUAUUAUAAUCUGGCAAUAUCUAAAAGUAUUUUGUUAAUCUUCAUCGGAUGGAACUCUUCCCCCACCAACACUUAUGAACCCAGAAAAAGAAAAUUCUCCAUCAAUUGCUGAUUAGAUUUACUGCAAGAUGGCCAAACAAACCACCAAACAAUCUAGAGAAGAUAUGAUGAGUAAAAAAAAGAAAGAGAAUGAGCAAGACGACAGAAGAUUAAGAACAAUCCGGAAGAAUACGAAAAGCAAAAACAGAAAGAAAAGGAGCGUUACCAGAAAAGGAAAAGCGAAGGCAAAAUUAAAGUUAUUGGCGAUUUAAGUGACAGAGAUAAAAGAAAAAGACGAAAAACAUGGAUACAUCAUAAUAGAACAUAUAGGGAAAAAAGAAGAAAGUUCAUUUUGGCGCAUCAAGGCAGCAAAUAUCAUUACAUACAGGUGUUGCUUACAGCAAGGAUCGGGUAAGCUCAUUUUGCACUAUAUCUCCGAGUCUUAGACAUGAUGCCAAAGCAAUUGCAGCUCACUUGAUUCCAAUUUUAGAACGUUUUUCCACGCCAUUGAUAAAUACCAUCUAUUUUCUUUCGGAUAGCCCUAGUACACAAUACCGCAACAAGACGAUGUUUAAUAUCAUUGGGUAUUAUUUGCCAACUAAAUUUAUAAAUAUCAACAAGAUUUCUUGGUCAUACAGUGAGGCACAUGGCAAAGGUGCCCCGGACGGAGUUGGGGCAACCUUAAAACUUACAGCGGACCGAUUGGUAGCGGAAAAUACAGACAUACCCUGUUACGAAAAAUUUGUGGAUGUAGUUAAUAAAAAUGUAUCUAACAUACAUAUUAAUACAGUGAGCGAUUUGAAUAUACAAACCGUAGAUAACGAAAUUACCGAAACGAUAUCCGAUAUAAACGAUAUCCGACGAUAAACUUUUAAGCGUCACUCAUAAACCUGAUUUUGAUAUUCCUGAAGAGGACAAAGAUAAUCAAUCACACAUUAAACCUAAUACUCAUUAGGUUUAAUGAGUAUUAGGUUUAAGGGUGGCUGUUCUGUUUAAUGAUUUCUGGUAUCCGGGAGUAGUUUUAUCUCUUAAGCUGAAAUUUUGUAUAAACUGUCCGCGCCACCUGUGCCAAGCUCUGCCCGAUUCUUCAUUGUUCCGGGGUCUAAAGUUAUAGACGAAUUGGUUUAAUUUUCUUCUACAUAUUUAGUGUCGUUUAUAUGUGCAAUUUUUAUUUCUAAGUAUUUAAAUGAAUUAUAAUUUUUAGUUGUAUGUAUAUAAAUAAACAGCACACUUGUUUUGAUA